UUUCCGUAGGUGAACCUGCGGAAGGAUCAUUGUCGAAACCUGCAUAGCAGAAUGACCCGUGAACUUAUUUUCAAACUCGGCGGAACAAUUGAUAAUCCUCAUUUGUAUCCCCUUGCUGGAGGUGUAGUCGUUCUCAAGGCGAAAGCCAUGUCAAUUACUGCAUUUGUAGCGCAUUAACAAACUUCGGCACGGUAUGUGCCAAGGAAUAAAAAUAAAGAGUGCUUGUCCUUCUGCUCAAUUUUUGGGCAUUAAAGGACAAUGUCGUCUUAUAUAUACUAAACGACUCUCGGCAACGGAUAUCUUGGCUCUCGCAUCGAUGAAGAACGUAGCGAAAUGCGAUACUUGGUGUGAAUUGCAGAAUCCCGUGAACCAUCGAGUUUUUGAACGCAAGUUGCGCCCGAAGCCAUUAGGACGAGGGCACGUCUGCCUGGGUGUCUCACAUCUCGUCGCCUCCAACCUAUUUCCAUUAGGAACCGUUGUUGUUGGAGCGGAAAUUGGUCUCCCGUGCACAUUGCUGUGUGGUUGGCCUAAAAUUGAGUGCAUGUGGACGGGAGCCGCAAUAAGUGGUGGUUGACAAACCGUUGCAUUGUUGUUGUGUGACCUCGUCCUCGAAAACUCUAUUGACCCUGUUGCAUUGCACAAGUGAUGCCUCGACUGCGACCCCAGGUCAGACGGGACUACCCGCUGAGUUUAA
RNAcentral lists this ribosomal RNA (694 nucleotides) under Cobaea lutea. RNAcentral describes it as "eukaryotic LSU rRNA". The stretch from base 282 to 437 matches the Rfam family "5.8S ribosomal RNA". The record is from RNAcentral. Lineage: Eukaryota; Viridiplantae; Streptophyta; Magnoliopsida; Ericales; Polemoniaceae. RNAcentral also lists the same sequence under 1 other name.